Molecule: small nucleolar RNA, 157 nt
Organism: Malaclemys terrapin pileata
Lineage: Eukaryota; Metazoa; Chordata; Testudines; Emydidae
Source: RefSeq, a predicted model, not a curated record
CCUGCAACCUGUUAAAACUUGGCUGACUCUAGUUUCUUGCCAAUGACCUCUCAAUUGCCAAAAGUGUGCUACAGUGGAGCAGCAUGGCAGGAUGUUUGCUAAGACCAGAAGAUGGUCUCUCCAUGACUGGAGUUUGAUGGCAAUCACUGCCACAUGC